Molecule: ribosomal RNA, 492 nt
Filed under: uncultured bacterium
Lineage: Bacteria
Description: partial 16S ribosomal RNA
Rfam family: Bacterial small subunit ribosomal RNA
Source: RNAcentral
AGUGAACGCUGGCGGUAGGCCUAACACAUGCAAGUCGAACGGCAGCACAGUAAGAGCUUGCUCUUACGGGUGGCGAGUGGCGGACGGGUGAGGAAUACAUCGGAAUCUACUUUUUCGUGGGGGAUAACGUAGGGAAACUUACGCUAAUACCGCAUACGACCCUCGGGUGAAAGCAGGGGAUCUUCGGACCUUGCGCGAUUGAAUGAGCCGAUGUCGGAUUAGCUAGUUGGCGGGGUAAAGGCCCACCAAGGCGACGAUCCGUAGCUGGUCUGAGAGGAUGAUCAGCCACACUGGAACUGAGACACGGUCCAGACUCCUACGGGAGGCAGCAGUGGGGAAUAUUGGACAAAGGGCGCAAGCCUGAUCCAGCCAUACCGCGUGGGUGAAGAAGGCCUUCGGGUUGUAAAGCCCUUUUGUUGGGAAAGAAAAGCAGCAGGUUAAUACCCCGCUGUUCUGACGGUACCCAAAGAAUAAGCACCGGCUAACUUCGUG